AAUCCAAUUGACUUAAAUUGUGCCAGGAUUUCACCUCUAAUCUUUUCCUUAGCACAAGAAGACCAGCACAGUAACUAAUAUAGAAAGGAAGGACUUCAUUCUUAGAGUUCCGCUGUCUUCCAAGAAACAUGUCACAGGACAAUGGUCUGCUACUAGGAAAAAAUGUCAGUGAGCCCAGUCAUGUAUCAUCUCUAAACACUGAGUCACAAGAAUUUCAAGGGACAAGGGCCAGAUUGCAGGUGUAAUUACUGUCCCAUGUUGUGAGCCCACUGUUCCACUGAACACACAAGGCAUUAUGAAUCCAGGCUGCACCAUUCUAUCAGGAUAAAGAAGUCCUCAGGAUCAGAGAUGAAAAAUACCAACACCAAGAUUUUCCAAAGUGAUGAGUGAUUUUAGGUGCUUCAGUCUUCUGAGCAUUCAUCUUCAGACCUCUGAGAUGUAACUAAUUUUCAGAACAUGCCAAACACCCAUCCGGUGACAACUAGGUUGCUUUAAAGCACCACAAGCUGGGCACCCCCACAAUAGAGGCACUGCUCUGCUUCUGACUAGGAGCAGAAGUGGUGAAAUGCUGUGGGAGAGCCCAAAGAGUUUCCAGCCCAUAUUUUUGUGCCCAAAAGAUUUGGCUGAACUUCAGUUCUGAGAUGAGUGUGAACCAAAACCAACAGCUUUGUGGCUAAAUUCAGGCUUCUGAUAUACAUCCACACACCUAUAACUUCAACUGCAUGUGCAUAUCUGAUUUGACCUCAGGACUCUAGAGAGAUUUGAAAUUCAAACCUAGAGAUGGAUCUGAAUUUCACAGAUGGCACCAAUUUUGAAUAUGAAAGGAAAUACUGUGUUCUGAUAAUUAAGAAUAAUCUAGGUGGACAUCCCUAUUUUUAAA
Long non-coding RNA from Trachemys scripta elegans, 880 nucleotides. RefSeq lists it as uncharacterized. The transcript has 6 exons. The record is from RefSeq and is a predicted model, not a curated record. Lineage: Eukaryota; Metazoa; Chordata; Testudines; Emydidae.